This 253-nucleotide ribosomal RNA is filed under the name uncultured bacterium. RNAcentral describes it as "partial 16S ribosomal RNA". It matches the Rfam family "Bacterial small subunit ribosomal RNA", at positions 524 to 776 of the family's 1533-position model. The record is from RNAcentral.
UACGUAGGGUGCAAGCGUUAUCCGGAAUUACUGGGCGUAAAGCGCACGCAGGCGGCUUCUCAAGUUCGACGUGAAAGCUCCCGGCUUAACUGGGAGAGGUCGUUGAAGACUGAGAUGCUUGAGGCAAGGAGAGGGGUGUAGAAUUCCCGGUGUAGUGGUGGAAUGCGUAGAUAUCGGGAGGAAUACCAGUGGCGAAAGCGGCACCCUAGCCUUAGCCUGACGCUCAGGUGCGAAAGCGUGGGGAGCGAACGGG